GGGCUCGACUUGGUUUCGACUCUGUGCAUCAACCCAGGGGAAGCGUGCCGGUGCAGGCUGGAGACCACCGUGAGCGUCGCAGCAAUCAAUAAACGCAGAGAAGAACUCUCAGCGUGACUACGCCCUCGCUGCCUAAUUAGCGAGCUGCGUGUCUGUCAGUCCGGGUUAGUCCCAGACCCGGUUCUUGGCAUCGACUUAUAGGGACUUGCCACCUGGCUCCGCCAACACGGCUAGGUGGGACUUCUAGUGUUGGCUGGGCCCACCAUCCAGGCAUGUUCGCCUGACCUGGAGGGUCAAGUAGAGGUACUGUGCGAACUGCGCACGGAGAAGCCCUGGCAAGAUCACGGAGGACCCGGGUUCAAUUCCCGGCGGGUCCACUU
This 380-nucleotide transfer-messenger RNA is filed under the name Corynebacterium renale. RNAcentral describes it as "Standard tmRNA". It matches the Rfam family "transfer-messenger RNA". Rfam says of the family: Bacterial tmRNA, also known as 10Sa RNA or SsrA, is named for its dual tRNA and mRNA-like properties. Its role is to liberate the mRNA from a stalled ribosome. To accomplish this part of the tmRNA is used as a reading frame that ends in a translation stop signal. Lineage: Bacteria; Bacillati; Actinomycetota; Actinomycetes; Mycobacteriales; Corynebacteriaceae. The record is from Rfam by way of RNAcentral.